AGACAAACGGGAAAUUCCCAACUAUAGUGUCAUAAUAAAACCAUUUUUCUUGUUUUUACUGCAGGUCUAGCCUUUACUGUUGUACAUGUUAGAGAGCCUUUGUGCAUACGGACAUGAAGCUAUUUCUUACCUGAUUCAAUCUGACAAAGUUGAAACAUCGUUAUCAUCUAGGGUCCAAACUGUAUCACAACAGAAGUGGAGUUUAUUGUUUUGAUCUUUCUCAUCAAGACAUGAAAUACGGUCCACCUCUGUCACUCUGUAACCGUGAUAGCUGAGGGAUGGUGUCUUUUUAACCAAAAAUAGCAAAUAGAUUGUUUUUAUAUAUCAUUGGAGCUGCAAUAACCCAUUAACUACUGAAGCUGUUAACCUUGAACACCUGGCCUGUGUUAAGAGUGAUUUCAGGACAACUGAUGAGCCCAGAGUGUUCCAAUUCUUCGAGCAGUGAUUCUAAAUACCAUUUUCUAGAGAUGACCAGCCCUCCCUCUUCCUCAGGACAACCAAAAGGCUCCAGAGCUGCAUUUGAGCAUAGAGCUUUGCCUGAGCCAUGCUGUCGCUUGACCCUGACCUGCUGCCUGGACUCUCUGGAUGGAUGUUGGACCUGACUCGCUACCUUGCAAGUGUAAAGCGUCUAGCAAAGAUCUGUGGCUUUGCUGACUUGUAUAAAGUGUUCUGUGUUCUGACAGGAAUGUCUCCUUGCCUCUAAAUCAGAGCCUCUCAUGUCCUGGAAGGUCAAAAUAGUUGGCACUAGAGUGGGGAACUAAAGAUCAAAAGUCUGAUUAUUGGCUCUAGUGUGUAUUUAAAGGGAAAUUAUCUCUAGAAGAAACUAUCUUUUUGUUUAGUUUAACAGCAGAAUUUGGUUUCUGAUAAAUACUUAGCUCCCAGUAAGGUCCGCAGUAUUCUGGGGGACCCACUACUAUAAACUGGGCAAUAACUGGCAUCUAAUGACACUGCAGAGACUGCAGCAAAGUUAUUAAUAGGUUGUGGGGUUGGCAACUGGGGCUUGUCAGUAAAAGGGAAACCUAUGUGAGACACUUUCUUUCACUUUGCCAGUGAAUUAUGUGGAAGGGCCCUUCCACAUCUAUAUUUACUACAUGUUUCAGAAUCUUGGGGCAAAACGAAAACAAUACUAAGUACCAUGAAGGAUUACAUUUCUGUUUCCAGAGGGCUUGAAGUGUAAACUUACCAAGCAGUAUGGUACGCAGUCUAUCAACUUUUGAAAAUAGUAGCAGGAAUUUUAAUACGUAUCUGGGUUAUUUGCAAAAUUUUCAUAACCAGGAAAUAUCUAGAAAUAGAAUUCAGUGCUAGGCAAACAAGUGGCAGGGCUAUGACUUCUCCCUCUCGUUUUGAUGAUUCAUGAAAUGAGAACUGUAUAUACUUUUCAUCUCGGCAAUCUCUCUAUAUAUUUAUUUCAGAGCUUAUCUAAUUAGAAGAAAUAUGUUCCUGGUCAUCUUUUAAAACUGAUCUAGAAC
Molecule: long non-coding RNA, 1469 nt
Filed under: Struthio camelus australis
Lineage: Eukaryota; Metazoa; Chordata; Aves; Struthioniformes; Struthionidae
Description: lncRNA (ENSSCUG00000007577.1)
Source: RNAcentral